Long non-coding RNA from Alosa sapidissima (American shad), 1627 nucleotides. RefSeq lists it as uncharacterized. Lineage: Eukaryota; Metazoa; Chordata; Actinopteri; Clupeiformes; Clupeidae. The record is from RefSeq and is a predicted model, not a curated record. The transcript has 3 exons.
GCACUGUGAAGCUCCAGAGAAGUGUGACAUUAGAGCCGCAGACAGAACACCUGGUUUGGGGAAAGCUACCCGUGUCUUCAGUGUUGUCGGUGGGCAGCACAGUCAUCGUUGAGCCGACAAAGUCAAGGUCAAGACCAAAGCAGAUAAUGGUCGGCAGAGUAAUCACACCGCUUUGGGGAGAUGGUUCUGUUCCGCUGAAAGUCAUCAAUCCAACCAACCACAGAGUCGUGUUGAGAAAGAACACCAAGAUAGCUGAUGUGUCCCCUUGUAUCGCUGUGGAAGAACUACCACAACCAGAACAGAUCAAGUCAAAUGUGCAGUGCGCUGAGAAUGCCUGUCCCGCUUCAACGCCCAGAUCCAGUGACGAGAUUAAACAUGUCCUGAGCAACCUGAAUCUUCCUGACGUCGACUUGGAGUCUUGUGAGGUGUCAGCACACUGGAAAGACGAGCUGCUUCAAGUCAUUGAGAGAUAUGAGUCAAUCUUCUCAAGAGACAAAAUGGACUGUGGAGAAGCCAGAGACGUCCCCAAUUUAGCAGUAUUUAAGGGGGGUGUAUGUAACGGUGUUAAUAAAGUGCUCCAUAUAGUUAAUCCUGCUAAAUGGGUCAAGACUUUUAUUUUGGAAUUAUUCUGUACAGUAGUUGCAUUGUGGGUGUCCUGCAGCAGAAGAGAAGUUAACUGCUGCAGGUAAGCUGGGCAAAUGAGGGUCCGCAUUAAAAGUCAUUAAAAGUGUUAUAAAUUGUGUUAUAUAUGUCCUAUAUCUAUUGUUAAAAUCAUUAUGUAUGUUCAUCCACAUAACUCGCGUUUCAGCAAUGUUUUGUAUUGUCUUGUAACUUUUAUUUGGUUUUGUAUUUUCGGUUGACCUUGAAGCACGAUCGUAUGGCUUUAGUGCAAAUUUUAAUAUCACAUUUAUUUUGUUCAGGCGGACCAGAUCUCACUGUCUUCCCUCAUGUUGUAUUUCCUGACCCAUGCAGACAAAUAAACCUGCUUCAUCUACCAUCAUCGUUUCCGAGUGUAUCACCAGUAAAACACAAUGCAAGUUACACGAGCACCAUUAUAAAAUAACGGUGGCCAGCAAGGGACAUAUGAGAAAUACAGCUCAGUCUUUGGCAUCUGCAUGCAUAUAAAAAAACAUUCAUCUGCAGAAUUUCCCUACAGUACAUUCAGCAAUGUAAGUUAUGAACCCAUUUUCUACAAGCCACAUGUCUUCCUAACAUUCCGACAUUGAAAUUAUAUAUAUAUCUGGUUUCUAGACCCAGAGACAGUUGAUAAACUAACCCAACACAGUUUUUCUAGAACUAGACUACCAAAAAAGUUGCUGAACGUGUGUUAUUUCAGGUUAUCAUCCAGAGAGAAAAAAUACUCUUAUGUGAUUGGCUGGUGGGGUUGGCUUCUAUGGAUUAGGAAUAGAUGGGCUCCUCCUAUUAAGUCAGGUUCUGCUCAAGGUUUCUUCCUGGAGUUUUUCCUUGCCUCAGUUGCCAUAUGGCGUGCUUGUGAGGGGUAAAGGGUAAAGGCUGGCAGUCUUAAAUGUCUGUGUAUAAAGUCAAAUAAUUGCGACAUAUGCUAAAAACAUGCUAAGGCUGGCUAAUGGCACCUGAGGUGGCACCACAAGGUUUUUUUGGUACGAGG